GACGGGUGAGUAAUGUUACGGGAUCUGCCUGAUGGAGGGGGAUAACUACUGGAAACGGUAGCUAAUACCGCAUAAUGUCUUCGGACCAAAGCGGGGGACCUUCGGGCCUCUUGCCAUCGGAUGUGCCCAGAUGGGAUUAGCUAGUAGGUGGGGUAACGGUCACCUAGGCGACGAUCCCUAGCUGGUCUGAGAGGAUGACAGCACACUGGAACUGAGACACGGUCCUCGAGACUCCUACGGGAGGCAGCAGUGGGGAAUAUUGCACAAUGGGCGCAAGCCUGAUGCAGCCAUGCCGCGUGUAUGAAGAAGGCCUUCGGGUCUGUCAAAGUCACUUUCAGCGGGGAGGAAGGUGUCGAGGUCAAUUAGCCUCAGAAUUGGACGUAGCCGAGAAGAAGCACCGGCUAACUCCGNGCCAGACAGUCCGCGGUAAAUCACGGAAGGGUCGCAAAGGCCGUAAAUCCGCGAAAUUCACUACGCGGACCGGUCAAAAGAGCGCAGACNCCAGCGCACGGGNCCNAGUUCAAACUCCGGGCANUGGUCGACGACACGCGCGCCCAAGGGGGANUAAAGAAGACACUAGGGGGAAAAACGCUAGCCAGC
Molecule: ribosomal RNA, 600 nt
Filed under: uncultured bacterium
Lineage: Bacteria
Description: bacterial SSU rRNA
Rfam family: Bacterial small subunit ribosomal RNA (bases 1-445)
Source: RNAcentral